This is a long non-coding RNA of Neopelma chrysocephalum (saffron-crested tyrant-manakin), 2081 nucleotides long. RefSeq lists it as uncharacterized. The transcript has 3 exons. Lineage: Eukaryota; Metazoa; Chordata; Aves; Passeriformes; Pipridae. The record is from RefSeq and is a predicted model, not a curated record.
AUCAUUAUUUUUGGAAGGCAAUCACUCAAAAAUGAUUGUCAUAGACUUUCUAGUUUGUUUCCUGCAGUGCAGACUGGAAGGGCCUGGUCUUGGGUUUUUCUGCAAAACCCAAAGAGAUUGUGACAGAAGACAAGCGUACGUCAGAAACAUUUCUGCAGGUCCAGCUGGGAGUAGGUGUCACUAGCAGAAAGUCUGUGGCAGAAAUCACCAGCAAGCUGAGAAAUCCAGUGGGAAGUAACAUGUGGAAGCCAAAAAAUGUAUAACCUAUGCUUUGCAACCUAUGAUGCUGGAAGAGCAUUAUGUUCUUCCUUUGGCACAGAAGGUCUCUGUUGAAAAUUUUCCACAAGAUUACUUCCCAUCCGUUCCGCUGACAGGUGCAGUGAGAGAUUGAUCAUAAAGCUAAAUCAAAUGGUCAUCUGCUUCUGAGGAGUUAGUGCUGCCCUUCACUAUAUUACUAGGUGAAAAUGCAUCACAGCAAAAAAAUUCUUACAAGAAGAUGCUCUCCUUCCUGUUCAUUGCCACCACGCUGAUUUUCUUAAAUGUGCAUUCACAGACUAGGCAGAUACAGACACAUAUGGCACAUAACUGCUAAUGCUGUCACUGUUCUUAAAGGUGACUGCCAAGAACAAUUCAUUGAAGUGGGUAAUUUGCUUACUGUGUAAAGAAAAUUAGCACCUUUGAAGCCAAAGUCUGGAAAAAGAAGAAAAUGCCUUCACUGUUAUAUAUUUUUGUGAAACAAGCAGCAAUUAAUCUAUGUGGGCAGAAGUGUACACUGGGUCAGAAUAGGCCUAGUAAGAGGAUCUAUUACCCUCUGAGAGGGUAUUAUCACUGACAGGGUAGUAAUUGAUAGGUACAACAGACACUUUGCUUUAGCAUCCUUGUGAUGUGGUCUGCUUAGCUGCAGCUGCAGAUGCUUUUUUUGUGAUUAAACUAUGAUUUGAAAAAUUAAGGAACCUUCUGUUACAACUAAUCUUUCCUUAGUUACCAGUGACCUGAAAUAAAACAAAUGUGGUAGAACCAGCAUGGAUGUCACAGGAUGUUAUUCUGCAAGAUCACUCAGCAUGCAGCCCCUCGCUCAAGUGACUCAUGGUCCUGGGGACUAUGGGGGAGAACAAACCCCCAUCCCAGGCUCUGCGCUGAACUCACAGAACUGAUCUGAGCUAGAAAGUGAAGAUCUUUCCAAGAGUGAUCAGCCUUGACCAAAGCCGUUCCCCUUCAGAGAAAGAACUGAGCCAUGCCAGCUGGUGUCUCAGGAGUCUGCACACACAAAACACACAUGCUUCAGCAGCAGAAGUCAAUGAAGAAGGAUACCCAGCUUACUCAGUGUUUUUUGGAGCCUGACUUACUUAUGCACCUUAUAAAACAAGACCUUGGUUUUUUGUGUGAAACCCGUCACCGGUAGCUGUUCACCAGAAAUAAUUUUGGAAGUACAGAUUCUAGAAACCUAGCUGGUCUGGGAAGGAAAUAGCCCAGAGAUUUUGCUCACUGUGAUUUGCAGGCUGUGCUCUGAUUUCAAAAGCCCUGCUUGUGCACAAGCACUGAGGAAACAAGGAAACCCAAGCAAGUGCUGUUGAAGUGCUCAGCAAAGCCAGCAGGGCUGUGCCACCAGCAGUGCUGGCACCUGGGGCCCAUCCAUGUCUCUCGUUCUGCAGAGCUUGCAAGUGGGAUGAAGACAUGACUUAAUGAGGCAGCUGGAAGCUGAAUCUAAAGUGAUAACAGAACACACAAGGGUGAUAACACACUAGUGAUCCCAGAAGACUAUGUUUUCCUUACAGGGAAGAAAAAAGUAUUCUUUGUGAAGAAAUUAUCCUUAAAUACCAUAUUGUGUUUUGGGAAGUAUAUGAAAGAUAUAGGUCAUUAGGAGGGUAUAAGGUGAAAAGGGGAUAGCAGUCAACUGGCAAAGAAUUGUGGCUUCUUCAUUAAUAACUCCCAGCAGUAUUGCAAAGCAGGAACAGCAGGCUGUGUUCAGCCAGGAAGUCCAUCCUUAGAGGAAACUUCUGUUCUCUUCAUAUGUUAUUUGUAAGUACUCUGUGAAGCUUGAACCUUAACAAUUUGCAGACAUACCACUGUGUUUUACUGUA